This 390-nucleotide ribosomal RNA is filed under the name uncultured fungus. Its description in RNAcentral is "eukaryotic LSU rRNA". The stretch from base 221 to 390 matches the Rfam family "Eukaryotic large subunit ribosomal RNA", at positions 1 to 170 of the family's 3401-position model. The record is from RNAcentral. Lineage: Eukaryota; Fungi.
GUUUGUUGUAGAUUGGAUUUGGGAGCUUGUCGUGUCUCUUCUCUUUGUGAAAAGAAAAGAGGUUGGACUCUCCUUGAAUGCAUUAGCUCGGUCACGUAGUUUGCCCGACGGUUCACGGUGUGAUAGUCUCACUUCAUCGCCGUUCCAACCGUUGGUGCCUGUGUCAUUGCCGGCUUCAAAUCUCUGGCCCUUGUAAAAGUGCCUUUACACUUUUGACGCUUGACCUCAAAUCAGGUAGGAUUACCCGCUGAACUUAAGCAUAUCAAUAAGCGGAGGAAAAGAAACUAACAAGGAUUCCCCUAGUAACUGCGAGUGAAGCGGGAAGAGCUCAAAUUUAAAAUCUGGCGGGUUUCCCGUCCGAGUUGUAAUCUGGAGAAGCGUUUUCCGCGC